This 2036-nucleotide long non-coding RNA is filed under the name Salmo salar (Atlantic salmon). RNAcentral describes it as "lncRNA (ENSSSAG00000098876.1)". The record is from RNAcentral. Lineage: Eukaryota; Metazoa; Chordata; Actinopteri; Salmoniformes; Salmonidae.
GCCCUAACAGGUUAACAAACGUGUAUGCCAUCUGUAAAUACAAGUAAAAUUGUUAAAUUUAGAGCCUAGUUGGUUUAACCCCAGAAAAAGUCAAGAACCUUCCCACUAGCCACCCUUGGCUGAGAUAAUGGAUGGACAUGCUAAGAGAUAAGUCUGUAGCUUCUGUCUAUAACAUGAGCUGAUCAGUAUGUGUAGAUAAUCCUUGCUACCGUGGCGUUUUUGACAGAUAUAACAUCAGCCAUGGAGAACUGUAAAAGUGUUGCUUCUGCUCUCAACAACAUUGCUAUCCUGAAUUUAGCAGGCGCAAUCGACAAAGGUCAGUGGGAAAAAGUUUUGAUGGACUACUUUCUGAACACGUCAGUGUGAACCGGGCAAAACAAGCUGUAGCUACAAACAAAAACGGAAACGACACAGGAUUACUUUUACUUAGCUAAAGGGGUUCCAGUCUGCCGUGAAGAGUCCAUCCACGUAUACUGGAGCUGGAAGCAGAGCUGUCACGUCUGUAGGAGCUGGAAGCAGAGCUGGAAGCAGAGCUGUCACAUCUGUCGGAGCUGGAAGCAGAGCUGCCAUAUCUGUUGGAGCUGGAAGCAGAGCUGGAAGCAGAGCUGCCACGUCUAUCUGAGCUGGAAGCAGAGCUGGAAGCAGAGCUCACGUCUGUUGGAGCUGGAAGCAGAGCUGUCACGUCUGUUGGAGCUGGAAGCAGAGCUGGAAGCAGAGCUGUCACGUCUGUUGGAGCUGGAAGCAGAGCUGGAAGCAGAGCUAUCACGUCUGUUGGAGCUGGAAGCAGAGCUGUCACGUCUGUUGGAGCUGGAAGCAGAGCUGGAAGCAGAGCUGUCACGUCUGUUGGAGCUGGAAGCAGAGCUGCCACGUCUGUUGGAGCUGGAAGCAGAGCUGUCAUGUCUGUUGGAGCUGGAAGCAGAGCUGUCAUGUCUGUUGGAGCUGGAAGCAGAGCUGGAAGCAGAGCUGUCACGUCUGUUGGAGCUGGAAGCAGAGCUGGAAGCAGAGCUGCCACGUCUGUUGGAGCUGGAAGCAGAGCUGUCAUGUCUGUUGGAGCUGGAAGCAGAGCUGGAAGCAGAGCUGUCACGUCUGUUGGAGCUGGAAGCAGCGCUGUCACGUCUGUUGGAGCUGGAAGCAGAGCUGGAAGCAGAGCUGUCAUGUCUGUUGGAGCUGGAAGCAGAGCUGUCAUGUCUGUCGGAGCUGGAAGCAGAGCUGCCACGUCUGACCGGAGCCAUUGCUACAGAACUGUUUUUAAUAGGUUAAUGUUGCAUAGGAUUGUGUUUUUUAAGUCAUGUUAAAAAAAAACAAUCUGAGAGGAAGAUUUCAGCUUUUAUUUUGACUCAGAAAGUGAUCUUGACUCAGAAAAGGUUGGUGGCCUCUUAUCUACACUGAUUGAAGUGGAAUAAACAAGUGACAUCAAUAAGGGAUCAUAGUGUUCACCUGGAUUCACCUGGUGCAUAGAGUCAGUGCAAGACAGGGUAAGUGCAGCUAGUCCAAGUAACCAUUUAAUUAACAAUUUAGCAGUCUCAUGUCUAUUUAGCAGUCUUAUAGCUUGGUGGUAGAAGAUAUCUGUUCGUCUGAGAGCCGAUGCUCCAGUACUGUUUGCCGGACCAUAGCAGAGUGAACAGUUUACGUGGGUGGCUGGAGUCUUUGGCAAUUCUUUGGUCCUUCUUCUGACACCACCUGAUACCUGGAUAGGUCCUGGAUGGCUUCACAACAGUGUGGGUGUGUGUGGGUCGUGUUCCACGCUCCACUACAGCCCUGUCGAUGAGGAUGGGGACAUGCUCUCCCCUCUUUCUCCUGUAGUCCACGAUCAGCUCUUUGUGGAGCUAGAAGCAGAGAUGCCAUGUCUGUCGGUGCCAUUCGUCCUUCUGCUACUCUCCCUCUCCCUCUCCAUCGCACGUUCUUCUUUCUUCUCUUCGUCUCCGUCAAGUAGGCACAAUGGAUUAUGGUUAUUGUAGUUAAUUACCACUUUUUUAAAAGCUAAACUAUGUAUAAUAUUGGCAUGUUGGAAACUACAACUCCCUACUACACUGAAC